AUGAAACCGAGCAGGGCGGUACGACUUGUUUCUCCAGCAGGGGAGACUGGAAUGCUGGUUGUUGAUUCUUUGGUGCCAGAUGGACCUCCAGACAAACAUCUGAAACCUGGUGACGUGCUGAUUUGCAUGAAUGGGGAGAUUGUAACGCAAUUUCUCACUAUGGAGUCCUUACUUGAUGAGAGUGUUGGCAGCGAGAUAAAUUUGCAGAUCGAAAGAGAUUUGCUUAAGAUCACGGAAGCUUGGGUUGAUGGAGUGCUUGUAUUCAGUUUUUGUUUUGACCUUGUGAAACUUGCUAUCUAUGGAUGA
Molecule: ribosomal RNA, 306 nt
Filed under: Triticum aestivum (bread wheat)
Lineage: Eukaryota; Viridiplantae; Streptophyta; Magnoliopsida; Poales; Poaceae
Description: partial small subunit ribosomal RNA
Source: RNAcentral